Molecule: ribosomal RNA, 397 nt
Filed under: uncultured bacterium
Lineage: Bacteria
Description: partial 16S ribosomal RNA
Rfam family: Bacterial small subunit ribosomal RNA
Source: RNAcentral
AUACGUAGGGGGCGAGCGUUGUCCGGAAUGAUUGGGAGUAAAGGGCGCGUAGGCGGCCAUUUAAGUCUGGAGUGAAAGUCCUGCUUUUAAGGUGGGAAUUGCUUUGGAUACUGUCGGGCUUGAGUGCAGGAGAGGUAAGUGGAAUUCCCAGUGUAGCGGUGAAAUGCGUAGAGAUUGGGAGGAACACCAGUGGCGAAGGCGACUUACUGGACUGUAACUGACGCUGAGGCACGAAAGUGUGGGGAGCAAACAGGAUUAGAUACCCUGGUAGUCCACACUGUAAACGAUGAAUGCUAGGUGUAGGGGGUAUCGACCCCUUCUGUGCCGCAGUUAACACAAUAAGCAUUCCGCCUGGGGAGUACGGCCGCAAGGUUGAAACUCAAAGGAAUUGACGGGG